GACGAACGCCGGCGGCGUGCUUAACACAUGCAAGUCGAACGGUAAGGCCCUUCGGGGUACACGAGUGGCGAACGGGUGAGUAACACGUGGGUGAUCUGCCCUGCACUUCGGGAUAAGCCUGGGAAACUGGGUCUAAUACCGGAUAGGACUCCGGACUGCAUGGUCUGGGGUGGAAAGCUUUUGCGGUGUGGGAUGGGCCCGCGGCCUAUCAGCUUGUUGGUGGGGUGAUGGCCUACCAAGGCGACGACGGGUAGCCGGCCUGAGAGGGUGACCGGCCACACUGGGACUGAGAUACGGCCCAGACUCGUACGGGAGGCAGCAGUGGGGAAUAUUGCACAAUGGGCGCAAGCCUGAUGCAGCGACGCCGCGUGAGGGAUGACGGCCUUCGGGUUGUAAACCUCUUUCAGCAUCGACGAAGCGAAAGUGACGGUAGGUGCAGAAGAAGGACCGGCCAACUACGUGCCAGCCGCCGCAGUAA
RNAcentral lists this ribosomal RNA (478 nucleotides) under uncultured bacterium. RNAcentral describes it as "partial 16S ribosomal RNA". It matches the Rfam family "Bacterial small subunit ribosomal RNA", at positions 28 to 523 of the family's 1533-position model. The record is from RNAcentral.